AACUCUCAACUCCUAAUGGUUUUAUUAUUGUUAGUGAUGUUGGAUGUGAACGUUUUGCUGGCUUCGGUCGGCUCGUUCGAAAUGAAUUAGCUGGAUCCCUCUUUAACUUGGUUCCACUCGGCGUGAUAAGUAUCUUCGUCGAGGACAGUUUCUUUUAAUUAAGAGGCUGGCCAGGAUGGAUUGGUUGAACUGCUUCUAAUCUUGACUUGUCUUCUUAACUGAAGAUGAUCACUUUUUUAUG
This 241-nucleotide unclassified non-coding RNA is filed under the name uncultured fungus. RNAcentral describes it as "sequence contains ITS2". Lineage: Eukaryota; Fungi. The record is from RNAcentral.